UACGUAGGGCGCAAGCGUUGUCCGGAAUUAUUGGGCGUAAAGAGCUCGUAGGCGGCUUGUCACGUCGGGUGUGAAAGCCCGGGGCUUAACCCCGGGACUGCAUUCGAUACGGGCUAGCUAGAGUGUGGUAGGGGAGAUCGGAAUUCCUGGUGUAGCGGUGAAAUGCGCAGAUAUCAGGAGGAACACCGGUGGCGAAGGCGGAUCUCUGGGCCAUUACUGACGCUGAGGAGCGAAAGCGUGGGGAGCGAACAGG
RNAcentral lists this ribosomal RNA (253 nucleotides) under uncultured bacterium. RNAcentral's name for it is "partial 16S ribosomal RNA". It matches the Rfam family "Bacterial small subunit ribosomal RNA", at positions 524 to 776 of the family's 1533-position model. The record is from RNAcentral.